Bos taurus (domestic cattle) is the source of this 716-nucleotide long non-coding RNA. NCBI's taxonomy places the organism in Eukaryota, Metazoa, Chordata, Mammalia, Artiodactyla, Bovidae. The record is from Ensembl.
GCUGCGAGCUGCCUGUGGAGAGAGGGGCAGCCUCUAGGAGCUGAGCAUCUCAGACCCACAACCAUAAGAAACUGAAUCUGGCCCACAAACUGAAAACACUUAGAGGAAUAGCCCAGGCCUAGCUGAGACCCUGCCUCAGCUGACACACUGACUGUAGCCUGUGGGACCCAGUUAGGUCCUGCCCAGGCUCUUGACCCAUGGAAACAGUAAGAUAAGUCUGAAGCCCAGGAAAGCGAAGGAAUUUACUGAAGGCCGCCAUGCUGUCUGGCACUUGAGCUAGAACUCGGCCCCAAGCCCAACAAAUAAAGUCCACAAUCUUUAAGACAUCCACUAAGUUUUGCCCCUCCCCCUCAGCCUUGCUCUUCAGAAACCUGUUCCUUCAGUGAGAAAUCCCAACCAAGAGUUUCAAGGCACGUGGAAGUUGGGCAUGACCAUGUGACUUUUUUGUCCAAUAAAAUAAGAGCAGACGUAACGUGUGUUGUUUCCAAGUGGAAGACUGUGUGAUUCCCCUGCACUAGUGAUCAAGGAGACACAUACAGAUGGACCUUCCAUCAGCCUGCAACCCUGAGUGUCUACGAAUGGACAGAUCACCCCCUAAAAUGCCUAGAUAUACACCAGACACGUAACAUGACCGAGAAUAAAACUUGGUACACUGAGCUGCUGUGAUUUGGGGAUUGUCGUUACAACAGCGUAAGCCAAACCAUCCUGACUAAUAC